GACAGAGUGGUCUAGUGGUUAGAACGCUGGCUUUGUAAUCCUGGGGUCUCGGGUUCGAUUCCCGGCUGUGCCC
Molecule: non-coding RNA, 73 nt
Organism: Zootermopsis nevadensis
Lineage: Eukaryota; Metazoa; Arthropoda; Insecta; Blattodea; Termopsidae
Source: Rfam